Molecule: long non-coding RNA, 344 nt
Filed under: Numida meleagris (helmeted guineafowl)
Lineage: Eukaryota; Metazoa; Chordata; Aves; Galliformes; Numididae
Description: lncRNA (ENSNMEG00000021019.1)
Source: RNAcentral
CUUGCUAUUAUGAGAACUUGCUAUUCUGAUGCCACACUGACUGGGGGAUUUCUGUAACGGGACCAAGCGCCGACAGGUCUCCAUGCACAUGUCCCUCCAGCUUGUCAGCCCUUUCCAGGGUGAUGCAGCUGCUAAGUGCUAUGUGCUGCUGUAGAUAAUGGAAGAAGCCAUUCAGAAUGAACAGGAGGAGCGAUGAGCUGCGAAAGGUGUUAAAAUACAAACUUUGCCUUGUGAACCUCCAACAGGGCUUCUAUGGAAAGCGGCAUUUGGAGGCUGCAGUGCACACGGUGCGGGACGUGUUCUCACCGAGCCCGCAAUGCUAGGCAUGCUCUGUGCUGCUGAGG